GCUUGCUUGUUGGGGUUGUAGGACACUCUAUACGGAGUUACAAAGGACGACAUUAGACGAAUCAUCUGGAAAGAUGAAUCAAAGAAGGUAAUAAUCCUGUAGUCGAAAAUGUUGUCUCUCUUGAGUGGAUCCUGAGUACGACGGAGCACGUGAAAUUCCGUCGGAAUCUGGGAGGACCAUCUCCUAAGGCUAAAUACUCUCUAGUGACCGAUAGUGAACCAGUACCGUGAGGGAAAGGUGAAAAGCACCCCGGAAGGGGAGUGAAAUAGAACCUGAAACCGUGUGCUUACAAGUAGUCAGAGCCCGUUAAUGGGUGAUGGCGUGCCUUUUGUAGAAUGAACCGGCGAGUUACGAUUUGAUGCAAGGUUAAGCAGUAAAUGUGGAGCCGUAGCGAAAGCGAGUCUGAAUAGGGCGUUUAGUAUUUGGUCGUAGACCCGAAACCAGGUGAUCUACCCUUGGUCAGGUUGAAGUUCAGGUAACACUGAAUGGAGGACCGAACCGACUUACGUUGAAAAGUGAGCGGAUGAACUGAGGGUAGCGGAGAAAUUCCAAUCGAACCUGGAGAUAGCUGGUUCUCUCCGAAAUAGCUUUAGGGCUAGCCUCAAGUGAUGAUUAUUGGAGGUAGAGCACUGUUUGGACGAGGGGCCCCUCUCGGGUUACCGAAUUCAGACAAACUCCGAAUGCCAAUUAAUUUAACUUGGGA
Molecule: ribosomal RNA, 703 nt
Filed under: Staphylococcus aureus
Lineage: Bacteria; Bacillati; Bacillota; Bacilli; Caryophanales; Staphylococcaceae
Description: partial 23S ribosomal RNA
Rfam family: Bacterial large subunit ribosomal RNA
Source: RNAcentral